GAGUAAUGUCUGGGAAACUGCCUGAUGGAGGGGGAUAACUACUGGAAACGGUGGCUAAUACCGCAUAACGUCGCAAGACCAAAGAGGGGGACCUUCGGGCCUCUUGCCAUCAGAUGUGCCCAGAUGGGAUUAGCUUGUUGGUGAGGUAACGGCUCACCAAGGCGACGAUCCCUAGCUGGUCUGAGAGGAUGACCAGCCACACUGGAACUGAGACACGGUCCAGACUCCUACGGGAGGCAGCAGUGGGGAAUAUUGCACAAUGGGCGCAAGCCUGAUGCAGCCAUGCCGCGUGUAUGAAGAAGGCCUUCGGGUUGUAAAGUACUUUCAGCGGGGAGGAAGGUGUUGUGGUUAAUAACCACAGCAAUUGACGUUACCCGCAGAAGAAGCACCGGCUAACUCCGUGCCAGCAGCCGCGGUAAUACGGAGGGUGCAAGCGUUAAUCGGAAUUACUGGGCGUAAAGCGCACGCAGGCGGUCUGUCAAGUCGGAUGUGAAAUCCCCGGGCUCAACCUGGGAACUGCAUUCGAAACUGGCAGGCUUGAGUCUUGUAGAGGGGGGUAGAAUUCCAGGUGUAGCGGUGAAAUGCGUAGAGAUCUGGAGGAAUACCGGUGGCGAAGGCGGCCCCCUGGACAAAGACUGACGCUCAGGUGCGAAAGCGUGGGGAGCAAACAGGAUUAGAUACCCUGGUAGUCCACGCCGUAAACGAUGUCUACUUGGAGGUUGUGCCCUUGAGGCGUGGCUUCCGGAGCUAACGCGUUAAGUAGACCGCCUGGGGAGUACGGCCGCAAGGUUAAAACUCAAAUGAAUUGACGGGGGCCCGCACAAGCGGUGGAGCAUGUGGUUUAAUUCGAUGCAACGCGAAGAACCUUACCUGGUCUUGACAUCCACGGAAGUUUUCAGAGAUGAGAAUGUGCCUUCGGGAACCGUGAGACAGG
RNAcentral lists this ribosomal RNA (934 nucleotides) under Salmonella enterica subsp. enterica serovar Havana. Its description in RNAcentral is "bacterial SSU rRNA". It matches the Rfam family "Bacterial small subunit ribosomal RNA", at positions 108 to 1038 of the family's 1533-position model. Lineage: Bacteria; Pseudomonadati; Pseudomonadota; Gammaproteobacteria; Enterobacterales; Enterobacteriaceae. RNAcentral also lists the same sequence under 1 other name. The record is from RNAcentral.